UUGACCUCGGAUCAGGUAGGGAUACCCGCUGAACUUAAGCAUAUCAAUAAGCGGAGGAAAAGAAACCAACAGGGAUUGCCUCAGUAACGGCGAGUGAAGCGGCAAGAGCUCAAAUUUGAAAGCUGGCCCCUUCGGGGUCCGCAUUGUAAUUUGCAGAGGAUGCUUCGGGAGCGGCCCCCAUCUAAGUGCCCUGGAACGGGACGUCAUAGAGGGUGAGAACCCCGUAUGGGAUGGGGUGCCCGCGACCAUGUGAAGCUCCUUCGACGAGUCGAGUUGUUUGGGAAUGCAGCUCUAAAUGGGUGGUAAAUUUCAUCUAAAGCUAAAUAUUGGCCGGAGACCGAUAGCGCACAAGUAGAGUGAUCGAAAGAUGAAAAGCACUUUGAAAAGAGAGUUAAAAAGCACGUGAAAUUGUUGAAAGGGAAGCGCUUGCGACCAGACUCGCCCGCGGGGUUCAGCCGGUAUUCGUACCGGUGUACUUCCCCGCGGGCGGGCCAGCGUCGGUUUGGGCGGCCGGUCAAAGGCCCUCGGAAUGUAACGCCUCUCGGGGCGUCUUAUAGCCGAGGGUGCCAUGCGGCCAGCCCGGACCGAGGAACGCGCUUCGGCACGGACGCUGGCAUAAUGGUCGUAAGCGACC
This 634-nucleotide ribosomal RNA is filed under the name Penicillium erubescens. Its description in RNAcentral is "eukaryotic LSU rRNA". It matches the Rfam family "Eukaryotic large subunit ribosomal RNA", at positions 1 to 649 of the family's 3401-position model. The record is from RNAcentral. Lineage: Eukaryota; Fungi; Ascomycota; Eurotiomycetes; Eurotiales; Aspergillaceae.